AGAAAGUGGUGUACUGGAAGCACCAAGA
Molecule: transfer RNA, 28 nt
Filed under: Fundulus cingulatus (banded topminnow)
Lineage: Eukaryota; Metazoa; Chordata; Actinopteri; Cyprinodontiformes; Fundulidae
Description: partial tRNA-Gln
Source: RNAcentral